RNAcentral lists this unclassified non-coding RNA (334 nucleotides) under soil metagenome. Its description in RNAcentral is "partial contains 5.8S ribosomal RNA, internal transcribed spacer 2, and large subunit ribosomal RNA". The stretch from base 1 to 120 matches the Rfam family "5.8S ribosomal RNA", at positions 35 to 154 of the family's 154-position model. The record is from RNAcentral.
GAUGAAGAACGCAGCGAAAUGCGAUACGUAAUGUGAAUUGCAGAAUUCAGUGAAUCAUCGAAUCUUUGAACGCACAUUGCGCCCAUUAGUAUUCUAGUGGGCAUGCCUGUUCGAGCGUCAUUUCAACCCUUAAGCCUAGCUUAGUAUUGGGAAUCGACUUUACUGUCGUUCCUCAAAUUCAACGGCGGAUUUAUAGCAAUCUCUGAACGUAGUAAUUUUUUUUCUCGUUUUUGAAAUACUAUAAACCUCAGCCGCUAAACCACCAAUUUCUUAUGGUUGACCUCGGAUCAGGUAGGAAUACCCGCUGAACUUAAGCAUAUCAAUAAGCGGAGGA